RNAcentral lists this ribosomal RNA (519 nucleotides) under uncultured Bacillus sp. Its description in RNAcentral is "bacterial SSU rRNA". It matches the Rfam family "Bacterial small subunit ribosomal RNA", at positions 8 to 507 of the family's 1533-position model. Lineage: Bacteria; Bacillati; Bacillota; Bacilli; Caryophanales; Bacillaceae. The record is from RNAcentral.
AGAGUUUGAUCCUGGCUACAGGACGAACGCUGGCGGCGUGCCUAAUACAUGCAAGUCGAGCGAACCAAUAAGAAGCUUGCUUUUUGUUGGUUAGCGGCGGACGGGUGAGUAACACGUGGGUAACCUGCCUGUAAGACCGGGAUAACUCCGGGAAACCGGUGCUAAUACCGGAUAGAUUAUCUUUCCGCCUGGAGAGAUAAGGAAAGAUGGCUUUUGCCAUCACUUACAGAUGGGCCCGCGGCGCAUUAGCUAGUUGGUGAGGUAACGGCUCACCAAGGCGACGAUGCGUAGCCGACCUGAGAGGGUGAUCGGCCACACUGGGACUGAGACACGGCCCAGACUCCUACGGGAGGCAGCAGUAGGGAAUCUUCCGCAAUGGACGAAAGUCUGACGGAGCAACGCCGCGUGAGCGAAGAAGGUCUUCGGAUCGUAAAGCUCUGUUGUUAGGGAAGAACGAGUAUCGGAGGAAAUGCCGGUACCUUGACGGUACCUGACGAGAAAGCCACGGCUAACUACGUG